GCGAAGAAAAGUGUUUUUCCUUCUUAAACUCGAACAAUGUUUAAAUUUUAUAUGCGUCGAAAAAUUUGUAAAAUGAGUUUGAAGCAAGUUCACUAACUAUCGAAAUAUUUCCACAAAAACGGUACGAAGAGUAAGUAACAAUUACGUGGCCGAGGCGAAAGCAAAAAUAAAAAGGCAUUGUUCCGGCCGAGGCGAGGAAAGAAAAAAAAGAAUUGAACGAUGCUUUGAUUCUCACUUGCGGAACGUCAUUCAGAGGCACGUUAGUAGGUUAUGUUACUGCGUCCGGAAAUCAAGUGGAUGCCUACUGUUGGGAGGAGCCGCCGCCUCGAGACCACCGUGAUUCGCAAAAAUUUGAAUAGCCCGAUGCGAACAGAGAGGAUUCCCGACUCGCUAUGCGAUCGAACCGUGAAAUGGAUUAGCCGUGUCAGACUCAAGAAAGGUUCCCUGUUACGCGUGUCUGGGAGAAAGAUCGGUGUCAGAUCGUGUACAUUGCCAUUCUUCUUUCAAGGGAAUGAAUUUCUCAUCGAUUAACGAUUGGAAAGGCUGGUCCCAAUUUGACGAUCCCCGUAAUUUUUGACAGUUUAGGGAAAAAUCGGAUUUUCGCCGACAAAACUGGUUGAAACAAAACGCGAAUACGAAGGAACGGGACGGUUAAUCGGUUGUUUGGUGUCUAUCAGAAUGGCAGGUUUUACACGGGACGUGGUAUAGGAAGUUCCUCGUUCAUCAGCAAGGUUUGUCGGAUGAUCAAUUGGAUAUUGCCGGCCUCGCUCGAGAACUUCUCUGUCCCUUUUCCCCGGCCCAUUAGCCUCAAGACGCGGGGAUCGGAUAAUUAGCGAAGCAUUCGCCCUAUUCUUGCCUCCUUCUCCCCUUUCCCUCUUUCUCAAUCUCCGCGGCCCGAGCAGCGGAGAGUCCUUAAUAAUUGUAACUGGACACGGAGCCAACAGCCUCACCAGGAUGCCUCCUCCUCGCUCUUUCCGGUCUCUCGCCUCCUCUAUCACCUCUGCCCAUUCCUCUCUCUCUCUCUCUCCGUCCCUCGUGAUCUAUCCUCCCGUGCGUUUCACUCGCACCCUCUUCCUCGCUGACUGUCUUCCCGGGCUUGCUGCCCACUUUACAAUACACUUUGUCCAUCUGCCUUUUAAGGAGUGAAAAAAUGAAAAAAGGGGGCGUGGCCAGGGAGAUCAAAGGGUGCCGCCGCUGAUACCUCCGCGAAGGUGGGAGCGAGAGAGGCGAGGCUGCGGGGGAGAGAGACGAGAUCGGACGAGACAUACAACCACGGUGGUAUGCACGCCACACGCUACGCCCGCCGCUACGCGUUACUAAACCGCACACUGCGCUCCUCUAAACUGCAAUACGCUAUUCUCUAUAUCGUCGCCGCAUCCUCUUUGACGUCUUCUUUCUUUUUCGACGUUCUUCUUCGUCUUCUUCUUCUUCUUCUUCUUCUUCAUCUCUCACGGCUCAUCUCGCACAAUGUAGCGCACGCUUGCUCUCACGAAAUCACGCUUUCGAAAACGGCAUCGUGCUUUGCAUAGAACUUCCUUCCUUCCUUCCUCCUUUUUUCGUUUCUUUUCCUGAGUUUUGAAUUUAUAUCAAGUUUGUGCGUUGUAAAUUAUAUCUUCCUCGUCGUUGCAUGUCGAAUGUGAAGUAUUUUUUCACGCGCAAUAUUUAUUUUUUGAUCUCCUGUGUCUUAAAGUAGUAGUAGUGUCUUAAAAAAAAAAUAUUGAAAAAAUAUAUUUAUAAAAUUUUAUAUAAAAUGCUAAAAUUAAUUAAGUAAUAAACAUAUAUAAUAAUUCAUUUCUUAGAAUAAAAAUCGCGUUUAACUAACUGCGAAAACAACACGUAAACAGCUGACUAAUCAAUUUUGUACAUCGUCAGUUUUGCACAAGAGAUUGUGCUACUUUCUUGUUUUCACUUAAAAAUAAAUAAACCUUAAUUUUAAUCAAAAUGUUAGAGGAUGGCAGUAAUGCAAGAGUUGCAAGAAUGAUGAUAAUUAUUAACAGAUAAUUCUUUUAAAAAAAUUUUCCAAUCGAUGUGUAAAUGGAAUAACGAGUUUCACCGCUCUAAGUUUGUAAUUUUUUUAUCCAAUUGUCCAAAUGAGCUCAUAAUAUUUAUUACGAGCAUUGGGGAAUUAUAAUUAUAAAAUUCAAAACUUUUAAAACUUUUUCUUUUUUCUUCGAGUUUAUUCAUUUAUUUUCUGGAUGAAUGUUAUCGAUAAAAAUCACCUUAUUAUUUAUUAAUAAUUGUCAGCAUCUCAUUUAAUUAGGAAAUUUAAUUAAUUUCGAACACAAAAAAUAUAUACUUUCGAUUUUUAAUAGAUAACAAAUUUUAACAAUUUCUAAAAAAAAACCAAAACCAUGAUUAUUAUAAUAUAUUCUCUGAUCUUUUGAAAAUCAUGAAAUAAAUUCCAACGAAACAUGCGUAUAUGUAAAAACUUGCAGAAAAUUCAUCAUCAUUAAAUAAAACGAAAUACUGAUAAACAACAAUAAAUUUCUUCUCUAGAUUUAUUAAAAUUUUAACCAUUAUUUUAAACGUUACUACAAUAUAAAAUAAAAUCUUAAAAUUCUACUUCUAUUCUAUCUCAUAUUCCUACAUAUCCCACUUCUCGAGUGGGUGUUUAGAUGUUAAACAAGUAUACUUUCAAAAUUUAUGGACAUUUCAACUUUUCGGUAUCACGAUCAAACGAACAGCAAAAGGGAAUGAUAAAGUUGACUAUGCUGACCCAAUGAUCCCCUAAUGAAUUCGCCGGCGCUGUUUGCCGGCUAUUUAUUCGGAGCAUCAAAUAUACCGCGUCCCAGGUAAUUGGUUAAUAAAACCCCGGAAGGCAAUUCUCUUUUCGCCGUGAUUAAUUGCACCCUCGAGCGAAUCUGCUCUUAUUUUGAAAGUUGGACAACCGACCCACCUAUCCACCUAUCCCUGGCUACGUUCGCAAUUAGUCCCUCUUUAUCGCGUUGCGUCAUUUGCCCACUGCCAGGGAAAAUAUUUCUGGCAAAAAAAAAACGGAGGAAAAAAAAAAGAACGUUUAUCGUUUAAUAACACCGCCCGGAGAAAUUCUUUAAAAAAAUGAUAUCGGACACGUCAUGGGCAGUUUGAUUUUGAUAUACAUCGUGUAAGCAUUUAUAUUCGUUUCAUAUAAUAAUAAUUCAAAAUAUUUCAAAACUUAUUUACUUUAAUCUGUGUGUGAAAUUUCCUUUUAUCUAGAGAAUUUUUUUUUCUUAAAAUCGUGUUAUUUUGAUUAAAUUUUUAAAUUGAGGAUAAUGUAGAGGUAGGCAGGUAUAAAAAAAUUGUAAUAUUUUUGUUAAAAAUAGGCAUCUAAACAAUUGUAAUUUAAAUCAUACUAUAUGUAUGCAUAGGUUAAAAAAGAAUUUUUUAUACAAAUUCAUAUAUAUAUAAAGUUUGAAAUUUGAAUUGUAUAAAAUUGUAUUUAGCAAAUUAUUAUUAGAAAUGCUAUAAAUUGA
Molecule: long non-coding RNA, 3452 nt
Organism: Apis cerana (Asiatic honeybee)
Lineage: Eukaryota; Metazoa; Arthropoda; Insecta; Hymenoptera; Apidae
Source: RefSeq, a predicted model, not a curated record